UUUGAAGUGAACGAUUUGUAACAAAGGAUUAUUGUUGCUGCAGCUCCGUUUUGCACAGAUCAUUUGUGCUCGAGCGUUCUGUUGGUCGGUGUGUGUGUGUGUGUGUGUGUGUUGCUCUGUAAAUCAUUGUAGUUAGAGUGUUUAGCUACUUAGAUUUACUCUGUUUAUUCACCCCUUAUGUGCAUAAAUAUGGCCACUACAAGGCAGCAAGAAAAAAAAAAUCUGUUUGUAGAGCAAUGUUCAUGUUGAAUAUGAGCACUGAGCCGUUUUAGCUCUCAGAAGUACAGACAUUUAUUUUCCUAAAUGUAAGUGAUAAAUGUAUCCUCUGGGACUUCCAUAGUAUUUAGGUUAUACCCAUAUUCUUCAUAAUCUUCUUUUGUGUUCAGCAGAAGAAAGAAAUUCAUACAGGUUUGGAACAACUUAAGGGUGAGUAAGUGAUGACAAUUUUCAUUUUUGCAUGAACUAUCCCUUUAAUAUAAAAUAAUAUAUAGUGGUUGUAACAGUACACAAUUAGUAUCCAUAAUAUGGCAUAAAUUCAACGAAAAUUAGCUUGCAGUAACAAAUAUUUGUGGUAAAAUUAUUUCGCAUGAUUGUUAAAUUGUGAAUGCUUAAAUAAAUGGGUUCAAAUUUCAUAAAUAGGCCUCAUCAUUUCUCAUAAUUACAAAUUGUAUUGUACAAUAGUGUUUUGUUUUUUUUCUCUAUUUUGUUCAUUGAUAAAAACUGUCAUCUGUGGCUGUUUUAAUUGACUCAAAUUAUUCUGAUACACUCUGGUUUGACCUGAACUUUCCUAAAUAUGAGAGCUGUGAAUAAUAAGAGUGUUUGCUAAUCUUUGUUCAUGAGUGUAACUCGAGAGAAGCACAGCGCUUCCUUCCUGACCCCCUGCCUUCUUUGGGAUUGAUUCUCAGGAAGAGAGGGGUGUGAAAAUGUAACGUCGAUGUCCCUACAAUAACAGGCUGGCAGACUGUAAAAGAAUGCAACACACACUUCUCCCAGACAGCCUGUAGAAUUCAACCAAUCAGAUGACGACUUUGAAAAUCCUGAAGUGUUUCCAGUUAAGCGUGCCAUAUGCAUCAGACGUUCAGCCAACAGUACGUGGGUGUGACGUCCGAGGCUGUGACUAGUCCACUGGUAGGGUACAUAUUUUCCGGCUAUCCAUGUUUUCACUGUUAUGCGGUAGGUGGUGCUAUUACGCAUCUUCUGAAAUAGUACAGAAUCUCCGGAUCAAAACAAGGAUGAUGAAGAAGCAGAAACAAGUGAUAGAAUAUUGCUUAAGCAAAUGUAAAAUAACACGAUCAUCAAACAUUAAACAGCAUAUUAGUUUAAAACUGCCUAAUGUUAUUGAAUGAAAUGUUGACCCAGGAAGAGUUAAAGGGAUAGUUGACAUAGUCUUUGACAAAAAUGCGAUUUUCUAAGCCUUUUCUUUAAAAUGUUGCUUUUUAAAAAAUUUAAACUUACUGUUGAUAAAAAAGGAUGCAUGAAGCAAGUAUAUUGUUUUUAAAUGGAAAGAGUUAAAGUACAAUUAAUUUCAAGUAUAAAAAAUUAAUACCUAAAUAGGAACAUAGUAGUAUACUGAAAGGUGGACUCAGUAGAAUUUCAAAUACACUGUUUGGAAGUUAGUUGGGCCAACACCAACAACAAACGUCUAACCAAUCUGUCUAGGAGACAGAACGAGCAAGAGGGAGAUUUGAAAAUAAUAAGAAAAAAAACUGCAGAACGAGAGAUGGGACACAACACAAAAAAAGCUCAAAAGAAUAUCACUGGAAUGAAGGUUUAUUUCUGGGCAAGCGCUUUAGGACCGCGUUUAUAUUAGAAAAGCUUUCCAGCGCUGGAGAGAGCUAAGUGGGAAGGCCUGAAAACAGACUUGGAGGCUGCUUUGAUUCCUUCUUAUGUGAGUAACACUGGGUUUAGAUUGUCUGGAGCUGCUGUGCUGUUGGCGACUAACAACGAACGCUUUGUAUUUACUCUUGUGUACUGUGCGUUCAUUCUUUGUGCUUCCUUGUUGUUCGUUCAUCAACUGCGCUUUAUUUUUCGUGAAGCAUUUUGUUGCGCGUGUCAGCUGUGAUAAACAGACAUCCACUCUCACUGUGUGUGUAACAGUGGUCAGAUAGUGAGAGUUUUGCAGUUAAACAACUGCACACUGACAACCGUUAGAGAAUGUGGUGUUUAGUGUCAUUGAUCGUGCAUUUGCCUCGCGUGCCAGCGGCGAUCGGGCCGGGGUUCGGGACUGACUCGGAGCAGGAGGUUGGGAUUGGAGUGUGAGUUUUGGAGGCGAAGCAAUGAAGAGAGGGGUGGGUUUUUUUGGGUUGAUUUCAAAUAUCAGCGUUGUUAAAAAUCUACUUACCGCACCUUUAAAGUGCAAAAAUAAUAUAUAAAUAGUAAACUAUAAUGGUCACUUAAAGAAAACUUACAGGUAUACUUGCAGUAUAAAACUACUAGUAGUUGAGAGUAUACUUCAAAGUGUACUUUCAUAAAAUAACUUGUCAAAUACUUGUUGCACAUUUAACAGUAAACCUAUAAGUUCACUUGUAGCACAGUUGCAGUACAAAAAAAAACAAAAAAACAACUUAGUUGUAAACUAGUUGUGUACUCAAAGUUUACUACUGUUACACUUAAAAGUAUACUGUUACCCACUAAAAAGUGGGCCAAUUUAGUCCAAGCAGUAUUGAAACUGUAAGGGAGGUUAGAUUUUAGGAAAUGUCUGCAGCAGCGGCGUCUAUAAGAGUCCAGUAACACAAUAUCAUAUGACCACUUUAAUCGCCCACUGAAGCAGGUAGAGCAAAGAUAAGCAGAGAGGACAUCAUGUGAAUAUGGGAGGGUAGUGAUGUUACAUAUGACACUGAAGCUCAUAGGCGUGGGAAGUGGGACAGUAAAUUUUUCACAGGACAGUUAAUGCAACGCAAAUUUUUGCUCAGUUACGUUUAUUCAUUUUUAUCAUUUAAUAAUUUGUUUGUAAUAAACACUUUAAAUGGGCUAUAAAAAUGUUGUUGUUGUGUUUUUUUUUUAAGAACAACUAAGAUCUAAUAAAAACGCUUUACAGGCUCAAGCAUAGGCAGAAUUUCCAAUAACGUGUUUUGCAGCGUUGAUCACAGACAAAUGUGUUGAUUUCUGGAACGCAGUGAGAUGUUAGGAUCCACUCACCGCUCAAAACGCCGGAGUUUUUGUUCAGCGCUGAAUGCUUUGCAUGCUGGCAAAUCCUGAUUAAAAAGUGUAGACAUUAUUAUUAAAGAAUCAUUGUGCAGUUAUUGAAGCGUUAUGAGAUCGCGACGAACUUCUUCAUCUUUUUUUUACUCAUCUUUUUAGUGAUUAUAAAGGAACGCUCGUUGCGCGCAUUCUGCCAUGCCAAUCAUGCACGCAGCACUGCAUUUGCUUGCUUUAAUGUUUCUGAAUGUUGUUGAUACUUUAAUAACAAAUAUUAUAAUGUAUCACCGUUUAUGCUGGGAUCUGUAGGUGGCUAGGCGACGCCUAGUUUGUCAAACGCUGCGGCUUAUGUAUUUCCGUGUGCAGUCAAAUGUCCUGGGCUGCGUUCAGCCCCGACAAAACGUUGCAAAACGUUUUUUAAACGGAAACGGUGGUGCGUUGAACACCCUGUUCUGAUGACGCAAGAGUUGCAGCUAUGGCAGCUGAGAAAUUCUUUGUGUUCUUUUUGAAGAAUUUUCGGAGUCUGAUGAAAUCGGUGUAAAUACGUGCGGUCAAGCCAGCCGCCACCGCGAAAUGCACGGUCACUCUAGGCCGCCACUAUAUUUUGCGGUUCGCGCAUACACUGGCUAUUCAGAGAACUGAUCUUAAAACAAGUAAUCUUCUGUCAAAGCGAUUUCACAUUCAUUUAUUCAGUCAGUCUGUCUGAAUAAAUGAAAAUAACUAAAUAAAUACAUAUUUUACAGCCCAAUUUCACCUGAAAAUGAUAGUACACCUCACAGCCUGUCACUGUAUGAUAUGCUGAAAUCCAAAAUAAAUGUCUGCCUGAAUAAUAAUAAUAAAAACAGGCCUAAAUAAAUAAAUAUAAAUGAAAAAUAUAUAUAUUUCACAGCCCAAUUUCACCUGAAAAUGAUAGUACACCUCGGACGCUGUCACUGUAUGAUAUGCUGAAUUCCAAAACAAAAGUCUCCGAGUAAAUGGAAAAAAAGGCCUAAAUAAAUAAAAAUUUAACAGGCCAAAGUCACCUGAAAAUGAUAGUACACCUCACAGUUUGACACUGUCUGCUGCUAAAUUCCAAAAUAAAAGCCCUCCAACACUCAUGUAUACAAUGUUUUGUCCAUACAUACCAAAACUAAGAAAAGUCCUAGUUUCCACAGACCAAAUUCACCUCAGAUGGACAGUACACCUUCUUACGGUGUCAACUACACUGUUUCAGGACAUUCUGAUGUUGUAUUCCAAAAUAAAAGCCCCUCAAACUUCAUAUCUAUGCACUGUUUUGUCUAUACAUUCAAAAAAAUCAUAAAAAGAAAAGUCCUAGUUUUCACAGACCAAUUUCACCUCAGAUGGAGAGUACACCUUCUCACGGUGUCAACUACAUCGUUUCAGGACAUUCUGAUGUUGUGUUCCAAAAUAAGAGCCCCCAAAAACUCAUGUUUCGGCUGUUUUGUCUACACAUUCAGAAAAUCAUAAAAAGAAAAGUUCUAGCUUCCACAAACCAAAUUCACCUCAGAUGGAGAGUACACCUUCUCACGGUGUCAACUACAUCGUUUCAAGACAUUCUGAUGUUAUAUUCCAAAAUAAAAGCCCCCCAAAUCUCGUGUUUCAGCUGUUUUGACUGUACAUUCAGAAAAUCAUAAAAAGAAAAGUCCUGGUUUCCACAAAACAAAUUCACCUCAGAUAGAGAGUACACCUUCUCAAGGUGUCAACUACACAGUUUCAGAACAUUCUGAUGUUGUAUUCCAAAAUAAAAGGCCCCCAAACUUCAAAUAUACACUGUUUUAUCUAUACAUUCAGAAAAUCAUAAAAAGAAAAGUUCUAGUUUUCACAGACCAGUUUAACCUCAGAUGGACAGUACACCUGCUCACGGUGUCAACUACAUCGUUUCAGGACAUUCUGAUGUUGUAUUCCAAAAUAAAAGCCCCCCAAACUUCAAUUAUAUGCUGUUUUGUCUAUACAUUCAGAAAAUCAUAAAAAGAAAAGUUCUAGUUUCCACAAACCAAAUUCACCUCAGAUGGACAGUACAGAUUAGAAUGACCGUACAUUUCGCGGUGGCAGCUGGCUUGACCGCAGU
Long non-coding RNA from Ctenopharyngodon idella (grass carp), 5206 nucleotides. RefSeq lists it as uncharacterized. The transcript is spliced from 3 exons. The record is from RefSeq and is a predicted model, not a curated record. NCBI's taxonomy places the organism in Eukaryota, Metazoa, Chordata, Actinopteri, Cypriniformes, Xenocyprididae.